Molecule: ribosomal RNA, 1153 nt
Filed under: uncultured Bacteroidota bacterium
Lineage: Bacteria; Pseudomonadati; Bacteroidota
Description: bacterial SSU rRNA
Rfam family: Bacterial small subunit ribosomal RNA
Source: RNAcentral
CCUACGGGAGGCAGCAGUGAGGAAUAUUGGGCAAUGGACGAAAGUCUGACCCAGCCAUGCCGCGUGCAGGAUGACUGCCCUAUGGGUUGUAAACUGCUUUUAUAUGGGAAGAAACCCCUUUACGUGUAAAGGGCUGACGGUACCAUACGAAUAAGGAUCGGCUAACUCCGUGCCAGCAGCCGCGGUAAUACGGAGGAUCCAAGCGUUAUCCGAAUUUAUUGGGUUUAAAGGGUGCGCAGGCGGCUCUAUAAGUCAGUGGUGAAAUCUCUCGGCUCAACCGAGAAACUGCCAUUGAUACUGUAGGGCUAGAAUCUAGACGAAGUAGGCGGAAUGUAGCAUGUAGCGGUGAAAUGCUUAGAUAUGCUACAGAACACCGAUCGCGAAGGCAGCUUACUAGACUAGUAUUGACGCUAAGGCACGAAAGCGUGGGGAGCGAACAGGAUUAGAUACCCUGGUAGUCCACGCCGUAAACGAUGAUCACUCGAUGUUGGCGAUACACUGUCAGCGUCCAAGCGAAAGCGUUAAGUGAUCCACCUGGGGAGUACGAUCGCAAGGUUGAAACUCAAAGGAAUUGACGGGGGCCCGCACAAGCGGAGGAGCAUGUGGUUUAAUUCGAUGAUACGCGAGGAACCUUACCUAGACUUAAAUGUAGAUUGCAUAGAGUAGAAAUAUUCUUUUCCUUCGGAACUAUUUACAAGGUGCUGCAUGGUUGUCGUCAGCUCGUGCCGUGAGGUGUCGGGUUAAGUCCCAUAACGAGCGCAACCCCUAUCCUUAGUUGCCAUCAGAUAAUGCUGGGGACUCUAAGGAAACUGCCGGCGCAAGCCGCGAGGAAGGUGGGGAUGACGUCAAAUCAGCACGGCCCUUACGUCUAGGGCUACACACGUGCUACAAUGGUCGGUACAGUGGGCAGCUACCUGGUGACAGGAUGCUAAUCUCCAAAACCGAUCUCAGUUCGGAUCGAAGUCUGCAACUCGACUUCGUGAAGUUGGAUUCGCUAGUAAUCGUAUAUCAGCAAUGAUACGGUGAAUACGUUCCCGGGCCUUGUACACACCGCCCGUCAAGCCAUGGAAGCUGGGAGUACCUAAAGUCCGUAACCAUUAGGAGCGGCCUAGGGUAAAACUAGUGACUGGGGCUAAGUCGUAACAAGGUAACC